This 494-nucleotide ribosomal RNA is filed under the name uncultured bacterium. RNAcentral's name for it is "partial 16S ribosomal RNA". It matches the Rfam family "Bacterial small subunit ribosomal RNA", at positions 28 to 506 of the family's 1533-position model. The record is from RNAcentral.
GACGAACGCUGGCGGCGUGCCUAAUACAUGCAAGUAGAACGCUGAAGGAGGAGCUUGCUUCUCUGGAUGAGUUGCGAACGGGUGAGUAACGCGUAGGUAACCUGCCUGGUAGCGGGGGAUAACUAUUGGAAACGAUAGCUAAUACCGCAUAAGAGUAGAUGUUGCAUGACAUUUGCUUAAAAGGUGCAAUUGCAUCACUACCAGAUGGACCUGCGUUGUAUUAGCUAGUUGGUGAGGUAACGGCUCACCAAGGCAACGAUACAUAGCCGACCUGAGAGGGUGAUCGGCCACACUGGGACUGAGACACGGCCCAGACUCCUACGGGAGGCAGCAGUAGGGAAUCUUCGGCAAUGGACGGAAGUCUGACCGAGCAACGCCGCGUGAGUGAAGAAGGUUUUCGGAUCGUAAAGCUCUGUUGUAAGAGAAGAACGAGUGUGAGAGUGGAAAGUUCACACUGUGACGGGAUCUUACCAGAAAGGGACGGCUAACUACGU